UACGGAGGGUGCAAGCGUUAUCCGGAUUCACUGGGUUUAAAGGGUGCGUAGGCGGGUUGGUAAGUCCGUGGUGAAAUCCCCAAGCUUAACUUGGGAACUGCCGUGGAUACUAUCAAUCUUGAAUAUCGUGGAGGUAAGCGGAAUAUGUCAUGUAGCGGUGAAAUGCUUAGAUAUGACAUAGAACUCCAAUUGCGUAGGCAGCUUACUACACGAUCAUUGACGCUGAGGCACGAAAGCGUGGGGAGUAAACAGG
RNAcentral lists this ribosomal RNA (253 nucleotides) under uncultured bacterium. RNAcentral's name for it is "partial 16S ribosomal RNA". It matches the Rfam family "Bacterial small subunit ribosomal RNA", at positions 524 to 776 of the family's 1533-position model. The record is from RNAcentral.